CGAAAGCCUGACGGAGCAAUACCGCGUGAGGGAGGAAGGCUCUAGGGUUGUAAACCUCUUUUCUCAGGGAAGAACAAAAUGACGGUACCUGAGGAAUAAGCAUCGGCUAACUCCGUGCCAGCAGCCGCGGUAAUACGGAGGAUGCAAGCGUCAUCCGGAAUCAUUGGGCGUAAAGCGUCCGUAGGUGGUGCUUCAAGUCUGCUGUUAAAGCCCGGGGCUCAACCCUGGAGGAGCAGUGGAAACUGGAAUACUAGAGUGCGGCAGGGGUAGAGGGAAUUCCCGGUGUAGCGGUGAAAUGCGUAGAUAUCGGGAAGAACACCAGUGGCGAAAGCGCUCUACUGGACCGUAACUGACACUGAUGGACGAAAGCUAGGGGAGCG
This 380-nucleotide ribosomal RNA is filed under the name uncultured cyanobacterium. RNAcentral's name for it is "bacterial SSU rRNA". It matches the Rfam family "Bacterial small subunit ribosomal RNA", at positions 376 to 770 of the family's 1533-position model. Lineage: Bacteria; Bacillati; Cyanobacteriota. The record is from RNAcentral.